Molecule: ribosomal RNA, 253 nt
Filed under: uncultured bacterium
Lineage: Bacteria
Description: partial 16S ribosomal RNA
Rfam family: Bacterial small subunit ribosomal RNA
Source: RNAcentral
UACGAAGGGUGCUAGCGUUGUUCGGAAUCACUGGGCGUAAAGCGCGCGUAGGCGGCCAAUCAAGUCAGGGGUGAAAUCCUUGGGCUCAACCCAAGAAUUGCCUUUGAAACUGUUUGGCUGGAGUAUUGGAGGGGAGUGCGGAAUUUCUAAUGUAGCGGUGAAAUGCGUAGAUAUUAGAAGGAACACCGGUGGCGAAGGCGGCACUCUGGACAAUUACUGACGCUGAGGCGCGAAAGCGUGGGGAUCAAACAGG